GAUGAACGCUGGCGGCGUGCCUAAUACAUGCAAGUCGAGCGAACGGACGAGAAGCUUGCUUCUCUGAUGUUAGCGGCGGACGGGUGAGUAACACGUGGAUAACCUACCUAUAAGACUGGGAUAGCUUCGGGAAACCGGAGCUAAUACCGGAUGAUAUUUUGAACCGCAUGGUUCAAAAGUGAAAGACGGUCUUGCUGUCACUUAUAGAUGGAUCCGCGCUGCAUUAGCUAGUUGGUAAGGUAACGGCUUACCAAGGCAACGAUGCAUAGCCGACCUGAGAGGGUGAUCGGCCACACUGGAACUGAGACACGGUCCAGACUCCUACGGGAGGCAGCAGUAGGGAAUCUUCCGCAAUGGGCGAAAGCCUGACGGAGCGACGCCGCGUGAGUGAUGAAGGUCUUCGGAUCGUAAAACUCUGUUAUUAGGGAAGAACAUAUGUGUAAGUAACUGUGCACAUCUUGACGGUACCUAAUCAGAAAGCCACGGCUAACUACGUG
This 497-nucleotide ribosomal RNA is filed under the name uncultured bacterium. Its description in RNAcentral is "partial 16S ribosomal RNA". It matches the Rfam family "Bacterial small subunit ribosomal RNA", at positions 28 to 507 of the family's 1533-position model. The record is from RNAcentral.